This is a small nuclear RNA of Dermacentor andersoni, 185 nucleotides long. RefSeq annotates it as U2 spliceosomal RNA. NCBI's taxonomy places the organism in Eukaryota, Metazoa, Arthropoda, Arachnida, Ixodida, Ixodidae. The record is from RefSeq and is a predicted model, not a curated record.
AUAGCGCCAUCCAGUUUUGCAUAGAACAAAUACUAAAUACAACAAGCUUAAUACCUUAUACAGGUUCUAUUUGGACCCAACAUAUUAAACUUAUUUUUGCAAGUUGGCAGAGUGAUUGAAGCCUGCUUCGCCUCCCCCGUAGAUCGGCCCAGUAUUUCACUAUCUCCGGGAUCGGCCCACGGUAC